GAUGAACGCUAGCGGCAGGCCUAAUACAUGCAAGUCGAACGAGAUUACGAGGCUUGCUUCUUAUGAAAGUGGCGCACGGGUGCGUAACGCGUAUGCAACCUACCUUAAUCAGGGGGAUAGCCCGAAGAAAUUCGGAUUAAGACCGCAUAAAAACACAGGAUAGCAUUAUCCAAUGUUCAAAUAUUUAUAGGAUUAAGAUGGGCAUGCGUGUCAUUAGCUAGUUGGCGGGGUAACGGCCCACCAAGGCGACGAUGACUAGGGGAUCUGAGAGGAUGACCCCCCACACUGGUACUGAGACACGGACCAGACUCCUACGGGAGGCAGCAGUAAGGAAUAUUGGUCAAUGGAGGGAACUCUGAACUAGCCAUGCCGCGUGCAGGAAGACAGCCCUCUGGGUCGUAAACUGCUUUUAUUCGGGAAUAAACCUUUCUACGUGUAGGAAGCUGAAUGUACCGAAGGAAUAAGGAUCGGCUAACUCCGUG
RNAcentral lists this ribosomal RNA (482 nucleotides) under uncultured bacterium. RNAcentral describes it as "partial 16S ribosomal RNA". It matches the Rfam family "Bacterial small subunit ribosomal RNA", at positions 28 to 507 of the family's 1533-position model. The record is from RNAcentral.